UGUCCUUGAGGUUUACUGUGUUUGGCAUCGCAGUUCCGACGGCAGCCGCCGUUUCGCGACCCACGGCGGACUUGCAUAAACACUUUCUAGUUGGAAUCUCACCCUGUGAGGUGGGCAAGGUAGUGAUAUUCCUGUUUGACGCCGACAGAAAUAAGAGAGAUUGACUCUCAGAACCAUGUGGCGGGAUUUUAAAGGAGGAUCUUAACAGUGGCUCGGACAGACCCGUGUUUUCUGCUCCUAGCAUUAACUACGUCGUUAAACCCUUCUGAAUUUAUUUCGUCUGUGAAAUGGGGAAAAGAUAGCCACCUUGCAUAACUGGUGAAGAAUUCGUAAACUGACAGCAGAAUCUAGUAAGAGGACUGGCCCGUGGUCGGCUCUUAAUGGUGUCACAGAAUAAAGAAAAAGACUGGGAGAGAGAUGGGAGCUGAUAGACCAGAGGAGACCAAAGACUGAAACUGAAGACUAAACCAUGGAAAUUGGGAACAAGCACUUACUCGCUUAGAGGGUGAAAAAAGUGAAUUUGCCUACAGGGCCAAUUUGGAAGCACCUCUCCCUGGAAGCCAGUCAAUGAAGAGCCAUUGGAGGAUUUUAAAUAAGGAACCGAAAAAUGGAGUCUGAAAAUAGAGGCGCAGAGACCGGUAAGUUGGUGGUUGCCAAUCAGUGGUCCAAGGAAAAGAUAAAUGAGCAGAGCCGUGAUCAGGACCAGAGAGGAGGCAACAGAAAAGAGAUGCUCAGGAUACAAUCGAUGCGCUUCGAGAGUGACUGGAGGUGGGGCACUGUAGAAUAAGUGACAUGGAGAGAUCUAGAUUGACCUCUGGGCCUACAGCUCAGGAAAAUGGGUGGGAGGUGGCAUUCAGAGAGACCAGGAGCACUCCUUAUCUUUCAGAGCCCAACACAUAAUCACCAACAGCUGACUUAUGAAUAAGAUCUUGGGGUCCUUGAAACACCGAAACACUGGAAUUUUUAGAAUUUUACAUUCUUACUGCCCAAGAAAACCCCUUGCAAAGAAAAAAAACAACUUAAGAAAAGUAAAAGUAUUUAAAAGGCUCCAACUUCUCCCAAACACCUCCUCUUUUCUGACUCUCCCAAUUGUAUAGUCACAGCAAUAAUAGCAGCCACAUAUUAAGUCAUUACCAUCUAUAGCCAAAUAACUGCAAAACCACAAGAGGGCAAUGAAAAUGGCCAUAAAGGCACAGAGUAGUAAUUAUUUUCCCAUUAGCACCAGCUACACUAAUAUCAACAUAGAACAAUUAACAUUCCUAACCUCAUAAUUAGGCUAUAACCUCUGCAUGUCUUGCCAGAGUAGAUUGAUGAAUGGCACAGGAGGAAUAAGCAACAAUAAGGCAGCCGUGCAGUGAGACCACUGCAUCCUCACCUUGUCUGCGGGUGAUCCACAGUGCUGUUGGAUAGAAAGGCAGUGGGAGAACUUGGUUGUGAUUUCCACUGAUCUAGCCAGUCCCCAGCUAAAAGCCAUCGAAUUCAGCUGCACUUUCUUUGAGUCCCAGGAAGUGAGUGUUUGAGUGGGAGAAAAGCUACAGCAGUAAUAACACAGAAGGCAGAGUCCUUUUGCAUUUAUAUCUCUUUAUUCUGUCCAUCACUAGGCAACCAUUCUUUGUGCUUAAAACUACACAUCUUUGUACAUGUGACACCUUCUACUCUGAAGUAACCACUUUGGUUUGCAGUGUGCUAGGGGAUAUCUAUUCUGUUUAUUUCUGUUUAGGUCAACCACAAUGAAGAACAAGCCAUUUUGACCUCCAUCCUGGCUCAUCUCCUCUGUGUUCUCAUAGCAUCAU
Molecule: long non-coding RNA, 1793 nt
Organism: Homo sapiens (human)
Lineage: Eukaryota; Metazoa; Chordata; Mammalia; Primates; Hominidae
Gene: SMIM2-AS1
Product: SMIM2 antisense RNA 1
Source: Ensembl